GGGUUGUGAGGUUAAGCGACUAAGCGUACACGGUGGAUGCCCUGGCAGUCAGAGGCGAUGAAGGACGUGCUAAUCUGCGAUAAGCGUCGGUAAGGUGAUAUGAACCGUUAUAACCGGCGAUUUCCGAAUGGGGAAACCCAGUGUGAUUCGUCACACUAUCAUUAACUGAAUCCAUAGGUUAAUGAGGCGAACCGGGGGAACUGAAACAUCUAAGUACCCCGAGGAAAAGAAAUCAACCGAGAUUCCCCCAGUAGCGGCGAGCGAACGGGGAGGAGCCCAGAGCCUGAAUCAGUGUGUGUGUUAGUGGAAGCGUCUGGAAAGGCGCGCGAUACAGGGUGACAGCCCCGUACACAAAAAUGCACAUGCUGUGAGCUCGAUGAGUAGGGCGGGACACGUGGUAUCCUGUCUGAAUAUGGGGGGACCAUCCUCCAAGGCUAAAUACUCCUGACUGACCGAUAGUGAACCAGUACCGUGAGGGAAAGGCGAAAAGAACCCCGGCGAGGGGAGUGAAAAAGAACCUGAAACCGUGUACGUACAAGCAGUGGGAGCACAGAGCAAUCUGUGUGACUGCGUACCUUUUGUAUAAUGGGUCAGCGACUUAUAUUCUGUAGCAAGGUUAACCGAAUAGGGGAGCCGAAGGGAAACCGAGUCUUAACUGGGCGUUAAGUUGCAGGGUAUAGACCCGAAACCCGGUGAUCUAGCCAUGGGCAGGUUGAAGGUUGGGUAACACUAACUGGAGGACCGAACCGACUAAUGUUGAAAAAUUAGCGGAUGACUUGUGGCUGGGGGUGAAAGGCCAAUCAAACCGGGAGAUAGCUGGUUCUCCCCGAAAGCUAUUUAGGUAGCGCCUCGUGAAUUCAUCUCCGGGGGUAGAGCACUGUUUCGGCAAGGGGGUCAUCCCGACUUACCAACCCGAUGCAAACUGCGAAUACCGGAGAAUGUUAUCACGGGAGACACACGGCGGGUGCUAACGUCCGUCGUGAAGAGGGAAACAACCCAGACCGCCAGCUAAGGUCCCAAAGUCAUGGUUAAGUGGGAAACGAUGUGGGAAGGCCCAGACAGCCAGGAUGUUGGCUUAGAAGCAGCCAUCAUUUAAAGAAAGCGUAAUAGCUCACUGGUCGAGUCGGCCUGCGCGGAAGAUGUAACGGGGCUAAACCAUGCACCGAAGCUGCGGCAGCGACGCUUAUGCGUUGUUGGGUAGGGGAGCGUUCUGUAAGCCUGUGAAGGUGUGCUGUGAGGCAUGCUGGAGGUAUCAGAAGUGCGAAUGCUGACAUAAGUAACGAUAAAGCGGGUGAAAAGCCCGCUCGCCGGAAGACCAAGGGUUCCUGUCCAACGUUAAUCGGGGCAGGGUGAGUCGACCCCUAAGGCGAGGCCGAAAGGCGUAGUCGAUGGGAAACAGGUUAAUAUUCCUGUACUUGGUGUUACUGCGAAGGGGGGACGGAGAAGGCUAUGUUGGCCGGGCGACGGUUGUCCCGGUUUAAGCGUGUAGGCUGGUUUUCCAGGCAAAUCCGGAAAAUCAAGGCUGAGGCGUGAUGACGAGGCACUACGGUGCUGAAGCAACAAAUGCCCUGCUUCCAGGAAAAGCCUCUAAGCAUCAGGUAACAUCAAAUCGUACCCCAAACCGACACAGGUGGUCAGGUAGAGAAUACCAAGGCGCUUGAGAGAACUCGGGUGAAGGAACUAGGCAAAAUGGUGCCGUAACUUCGGGAGAAGGCACGCUGAUAUGUAGGUGAAGUCCCUCGCGGAUGGAGCUGAAAUCAGUCGAAGAUACCAGCUGGCUGCAACUGUUUAUUAAAAACACAGCACUGUGCAAACACGAAAGUGGACGUAUACGGUGUGACGCCUGCCCGGUGCCGGAAGGUUAAUUGAUGGGGUUAGCGCAAGCGAAGCUCUUGAUCGAAGCCCCGGUAAACGGCGGCCGUAACUAUAACGGUCCUAAGGUAGCGAAAUUCCUUGUCGGGUAAGUUCCGACCUGCACGAAUGGCGUAAUGAUGGCCAGGCUGUCUCCACCCGAGACUCAGUGAAAUUGAACUCGCUGUGAAGAUGCAGUGUACCCGCGGCAAGACGGAAAGACCCCGUGAACCUUUACUAUAGCUUGACACUGAACAUUGAGCCUUGAUGUGUAGGAUAGGUGGGAGGCUUUGAAGUGUGGACGCCAGUCUGCAUGGAGCCGACCUUGAAAUACCACCCUUUAAUGUUUGAUGUUCUAACGUUGACCCGUGAUCCGGGUUGCGGACAGUGUCUGGUGGGUAGUUUGACUGGGGCGGUCUCCUCCUAAAGAGUAACGGAGGAGCACGAAGGUUGGCUAAUCCUGGUCGGACAUCAGGAGGUUAGUGCAAUGGCAUAAGCCAGCUUGACUGCGAGCGUGACGGCGCGAGCAGGUGCGAAAGCAGGUCAUAGUGAUCCGGUGGUUCUGAAUGGAAGGGCCAUCGCUCAACGGAUAAAAGGUACUCCGGGGAUAACAGGCUGAUACCGCCCAAGAGUUCAUAUCGACGGCGGUGUUUGGCACCUCGAUGUCGGCUCAUCACAUCCUGGGGCUGAAGUAGGUCCCAAGGGUAUGGCUGUUCGCCAUUUAAAGUGGUACGCGAGCUGGGUUUAGAACGUCGUGAGACAGUUCGGUCCCUAUCUGCCGUGGGCGCUGGAGAAUUGAGGGGGGCUGCUCCUAGUACGAGAGGACCGGAGUGGACGCAUCACUGGUGUUCGGGUUGUCAUGCCAAUGGCACUGCCCGGUAGCUAAAUGCGGAAGAGAUAAGUGCUGAAAGCAUCUAAGCACGAAACUUGCCCCGAGAUGAGUUCUCCCUGACUCCUUGAGAGUCCUGAAGGAACGUUGAAGACGACGACGUUGAUAGGCCGGGUGUGUAAGCGCAGCGAUGCGUUGAGCUAACCGGUACUAAUGAACCGUGAGGCUUAACCUUACAACGCCGAAG
This 2927-nucleotide ribosomal RNA is filed under the name Escherichia coli. RNAcentral's name for it is "23S ribosomal RNA". It matches the Rfam family "Bacterial large subunit ribosomal RNA". The record is from RNAcentral. Lineage: Bacteria; Pseudomonadati; Pseudomonadota; Gammaproteobacteria; Enterobacterales; Enterobacteriaceae.